UCAACAACGGAUCUCUUGGCUCUCGCAUCGAUGAAGAACGCAGCGAAAUGCGAUAAGUAAUGUGAAUUGCAGAAUUCAGUGAAUCAUCGAAUCUUUGAACGCACCUUGCGCUCCUUGGUAUUCCGAGGAGCAUGCCUGUUUGAGUGUCAUUAA
RNAcentral lists this ribosomal RNA (153 nucleotides) under Lyophyllum fumosum. RNAcentral's name for it is "5.8S ribosomal RNA". It matches the Rfam family "5.8S ribosomal RNA". From Rfam's summary of the family: 5.8S ribosomal RNA (5.8S rRNA) is a component of the large subunit of the eukaryotic ribosome. Lineage: Eukaryota; Fungi; Basidiomycota; Agaricomycetes; Agaricales; Lyophyllaceae. The record is from RNAcentral.